CAUUUUGCAUCCAUCACCAGUUAAUAAACAUUUGUUUUUCAGCACAUACAUAUACCGCUUUUCACCGCUCAGUAAUAACAUCUGUUUAAUUACGUCCAACAUUGCAUUGAUGUCAUUUCUGCCACCACCACUGGAACUAAGCUGGAAAGGCGUCUGGGGAAAUGAAAAUGGGAAAGUGAGGGCGCCGAGCAUCGACAAUGCAGGUUCACAAGCUAGCAAGUGAAUUAGUAAAGCGCUGUGCUGGGAAACUCCUGCCAUUUUCCACCCACUUUACCGCCACCUCCCAUGUGUGCAAAGAACAUUCAUAUUUAAACGCAGGCGAAAAUGAUUUGAAUGAUGCUCAGGAGAGUGACGAAGGGUGUAAAAUUUGAACAAAUAAAUCUGGGAACCAAACCGGUUUCGUCACCAUGAGGCAUCCUUUGAAAACAAUUGAGCAGUUUUGAGGAGAGCAGGUAACCGCUUCAAACAACCCAUACAAAUUAUGAGAUACAUUUCGGGUGACUACGUAUCCAUUGGAUACAAGACAAUAGCCGAGCAACAGCUGUUGUUCCGGAUCUUCGCUAUUCUAUGCUAUAUAUUUCCAUGCUUUUGUUACUGAAAAUUGAUUAGAUUCUUCCCGCGCAGCUGCUGCUUCUACGGUUUUUGCUCGCUCUAUAUUAUUUGAUGUUUUUCUUUCCGUUUGAUUUUCAUAGCGUGAGAAGCGAUUCCGUAUUUGUUCAGGUUUUUAAUAUUUUUUUUUCGCAGGUGUAUUGCAACAAUUAAAUGUCAGUGCAGCAAAAGUACAAGUAUCUUACAGAUACGACACAGCUUCUUAGCUGCGUAAACUCCGAAUAUAAACAACAACAAAAAAAGAAGUAGAGAAGAAAAGCAAAAGGGGUGUAUAAAAAAAAAUAUUAUCGCAUCACGCGCAUCUACAAAAUGAUUUCACACAGCAACAGCAACAUUAACUUGCUCUUUCAUUAUCGACACAUCGUUAUAGGCAAUAGUUUCUUCUUCGCCGGCGUUGUCGUCACAUUUGUCGACCGACGACGCCGUUUAUUUAUUUUGCCCUUUAACUAUUUGGGCAGACACAUCCACAACAACAACAAAAGCAACAACAACAACAACAAGCUGAACAAGAACAAAAACAACAACGACCACCGCCAGCGGUCUUCUCUUUUUUUCCUCGACUUUUUGUGCCCGUCUUGCAGAUGCACCUUGAUUAAAUUCCAGGAAUUGAAAAAAUCUUUUAGUCGCAGACAUGGACGGACCGCUUGUUGAUAUUUACCCAAUGAUCAAAAGGGGGUAAAAGAGGGGUGCACUGAAUAUCCCCGCCCCCCUCUGCCAACCCCCUGCAGACUGGCUCCAUUAAUGAUGCAGCAAAUGGUCUUCUUUCUGCCUGCCUUCUUCUCUAUCUCGUUUCUCGAGCCUAACCAGCUACUUCAAUUCUCAAAAUGUUGCACAGCGUACAGGGAGUUUUCCUUUAUUGUUUUGUCAAAAAAAAAAAAAUAAUGUAAAAAAAAUAAUAUAAAAAAAAUAAAUAAGCCUAAAAAGCAGCUACUACGAAGUAAUAACCUAUGCAGGCUUAUUAUACUAUUCGUAAAGCAUGGAAUGCAAAAUACCCUAUACAAAAAUAAAAGAUAACUUGCUUAACUACAAAUAUUUAAAAGUUUGCUUUAAACUCCGGAAGUUAUAAUCGCUGUUUGAUUAGUUAUCAGUAUCAUUGCCUUGAGUAAUUUUUAUAUCACACAAAAUACAUUACAAUCUACAUAUAACCUACAUAUAAUAUAAUCUACAUAUAAUAUAACACAUCAUUUUUAUAAAAUGUAAGCUGCAGAUAAAGCGUGAAUAGAUUUAUGUAACACAAUGCUCACGUUUUCUUUAAAGAUUCAAACAGAACCACUUCAUAGACCAACAGUUUCGACCUUUUCAUCGUACCCCAGAAAUAGCUUUACCUACAAAGCGAAGACUUGACUUGGCUUCUUCGCUCGUUUCUGCUCAGUCUUCCACUUUGCGUUUGGAUUUUCGAUUUUCUAGCUGGCAUUUCUACACAAUCGAGGGGGAGGAAACCCAAAGAAGAGGAGCAGCUGGAGGAGUUGUUGCCCCGGCUCAAGUGUUUCCAUCUCGAGAGUGGCUGUGGCGAGCUUUAAAGAUUCCCUUUGUUGUUUGGCAUUUAACUGCAGUGCUUGUCAAACUGUGCGCCCGUAGACAAUGUCCAAAGAGGCAAAGUACCAAAGAACCCAAGCCGAAGACGAUGCCAGAAGUUGCUGCUGCUGCUGCUGUUGCUGUGCUUGCCUUAAUGAUUUUACAUUUUUUACAUAAACAAGCCGGUCCCCAACCAGCACCAGCUGUCUUUUUCCUGUAUUUUUUCUUUCAGUUUUGCUGGCUGCGGCAAAUGCAACUCACGGAAAGCAUUCAAAAGCAAUUAAGCGCUUUCUUCACAGCCCAGAGAGCGCGACAGAGACGGCCUUAGAUGGUGGAAAAGAGAAGGGCGCACACAUGAGUUGAAAAUGUAAUAUCAUCAAUCAAAAAAAAAAAAAGAAGGAACACAAAAAUACAGAGACAGCAGAAAAAUUAAGCAGGGAGAGUGAGUGCCAAAGAAAAGCCAUGCCCAAGCUUAAAACUGGAAAUUCUCUUUUACACCGAAAGAGUUUAUGAUCUGGGAAAUAUGUCCGAUGAAAGCUGAUUUGGAAGAUGCAGCACGAAGCCAGCUCACGAAACGGCGGCAACACCAACAACAAAUUUAGCUUGAUUAUGCCAACCACCGACAACAACAACAAGAAGAAACAGCAAACAGCCACAACGAUUUUUUUUUAUCAUCGCAUAUAUUGAAAAAUGCUUCAAACUAAAAGCCAAGCGCUGUAAUCAUAUUUAACUUUGCCUCGGUUAUGUGCCUCAUCUUCUGCAGCCGCAGCCUCAUCUCUCCUUCACCUGAUUUUGGUUGAUGCUGCUGCUGCUGCUGUUGCCAAACCUCAGAGGCAACCGCAACAGUUGCUCGUCUACCUUUCUACGUGAUGAUGUUGUAUGUAUGCAUGUGUGUGUGUUGCAAGUGGCCAUAACAACCGAAAACGGCAACCGAAAUGGCCAACACAAACUGCCCCCCGUGGAAAGGGGUAAAAUGGUGGGGGGGAGGGGAGGAGUGAGUGGUGGAAGCAAGGGGGGAAGAUCGCAGUGAACCCAAAUGACUGGGAAUUUGGCCAGGUAAGCCAGGUAGGUAAGUGCAGCCCAGAGCGGCCAGUGGCCAAGUGGCAAGUGGCUAUCACGGCAUGGCUAUAUAGCCGCCGAUACACACGUAUUUACAGUAUGUAUGUAUUGGUAUACAGCUCUGGGUGAAGGCAGCAACAAAUUUCAGCAAAUUACUAUUAGGUAACCAAAGAAGCAAGGUUUCCCAGAUCAGAUAUCCCAACACGAACGUAUAAAUCUUCUGAAGAAGGGUUCUAAGUACAGGCAAGACGUAAAAAGACUUUAAUACGCGGACUUAAAUGAAGCUUUGUUCUAGCAACAGCGUUUUGAGACAUACAUAUUAUCUUGAAAUGAUAAGAUUAUAAGAGUUCAUAUAGUCAGCUAAGUUUAAUUUAAAUAGUGUUACCAUUUAAAUUUAAACUUUAAGUUCUUGGAAUUUGGAAAGCAAUACGAAUCUAUGAAUGCCAAAUCAUUUUCUAUACGGCGCUUUUAUCGCCUUCCUAUGCCAAUAAAGUUUCUAUUGCAUAUGCAUUGGUUACUCUUUGAUUGCCACCGAAUAACGACUUUACAUACAUAUAUACUAUAUAUCCGAUACCAACGAUGGGUGGUGGGUGGGUGGUAAUUGGCGGAAUUGAAGUACUUGGAGUACUCAUAUUGACCCAGCGACAAGUUGCAGUCAUUUACUUAACUUUCACAAUUUCGAUUUACACAUCUACAUGACUCCUCUUUAUUCUCCCCGCACAAUCAUAUAGAUAUAGGUAUAUAUCUUUGCCCUACGCCUCUGCGGUCGGCUGUCUACUCAAUCACAGCGUAAAGCACUUCUGAGUCAUAAAAACCAAGCCAGACAGCGAUUGUGUAGUUGGCAAUUUUAUGCAGCGCCACUUGGAGCACUCCGGAUCUCCGGAUUCGAGAUGCCAGCAGGGCAGGGUGGAGUGGUGCUGCAAAGUUAGGGGUUUCGGGGUUUACCAUGGAGUGAAGCGAUAAAAAUGACACAUGGAGCUCCACUCCAUUCUGUUCCAAAGGCAAAUGGCAAAUAGCCGCGAGAGAAAGAGAGAGAGAGAGAGAGAGAGAGAGAGAUAGCCCUGUGGCAAGUGACACUUCGUGGGGGCAGAGACAUGGCCAAAAGGAGCCAAGCCGAUCGAGUUUGUCUCGCGAAGUAAGAGUUAUAUCUUUAAUUCACUGCGGACAUCACCUCCACGAAUGACAAAGACUUCAAUUACUUUAUAUAGAAUAACAAGCAAAUCUUUUGUUUCUAUUCAUAUAAGUUAUUAGAAACUGCAAAAUAUAUACGUUUUCAAGGUUUUCAAAUAUAUAUUUUAAACACCAGAAGUAAAAUCCUUUUUGUUUUUGUUUUUGAAGAAUGUCCAACAUGUUUUCGAAAGCAAUUACAACAUGCAAUUAAAAAUCGCCUGCGCUGAAACACAAAACCGUUUCGUUUUGGCCUGCAGACAAUCGGGAUUGCAUAACCGGGAAACAUAUUUCUGGUCUCGUUUUGACUUAUAUAUUUAUAUAUCUUUUGUUUUAUACAGUGUCCGAAAAACGAGAGCGACAAGUUGACACAAUCGUGGACAACCUUUUUCGUACACAAGCCAAUCAACUGUGGCACAGCAGAAAGCUCAAAAAAAGCGGAAAUAAUUAUGGAAAAACAAUUUUUAAUUUGCAAUUGCACUCGCAGCAGCAGCAACAACAACAGAAGCACAGUAACAACCGAAAAACUUAACAAGCCAACCUUGGCGUUUAUGCCCUUUAAUGGGGAUUUUUAUACGUAUUUUUAUACCGCUUUUUGUGCGCCUCACCUUGAGAUAACUUUACGUGGAGUUGGAGUUGGAAUUGGAAUUGGAGUUGUAGUUGGAGGUGGAGGUGGAGCCAAUGGGCGAAACUCUGAGCUCACAAUGCAGCCCUUUGAUCGUGAACAGGCGCAACCUUGGAAUGAAAUCGGUGGGAUCUCUCUCUAUAAGGUAAGAGAGUAAAAUGAAAUAAAAAACCGCUGGCCGAAUGGAAAAACCUCAAUUGAAUGGCUGUAGUCCAAAGCCCUUUAAACAAACAACUUCAUUAAUCAAUAAAAAGGCACAGCAGCCAAAAGUGAAUUAAAAGCGAACAAACAAGCACAUUAAACGUGAAAAUCUGAUCUAGGGUGGCAACAGCGAACCCGUCCCCCAUAAUUAAGUAAGAAACAACAGCUGCCCCAAAGUGUAAAAACCUGUAAAUAUUUAAAAACAUAAAUUCCCCAAAAACAAAAAAAAAAAGAAAAGAGAAUCCCAUUAAAAUAAAAACAUUUAAGGGGUGGCAAGCGGAUUUUCACCAUCUUAUGAAUUUCAUUGCUUGAACUUGGGGACACCACCAAAAAGAAAAACUAAGAAAAAACACCAGCAAAUACAACAAACAUAAGUAAAUAAAGCUGAAAACGCCGUGGAAGAUGACUCCUGGCGUCAGGCCAUAAAAAAGGUAAAACAAACAAAACAGGCUAACAAACAACAUCAACAACAACGCACUCAUAAAAAACGGGGGUAAAGUACGGCGCGGGAAAGCGGGCAGAGUUCUCAGAAGGUAAAAAAUGAAAAAAAAAAGAGGGGUAGACUUUAUCGAAAGUCAAUUGGGCGUAAACCCCGAUAAUGAAUCGGUUGCGAAUGAAGGCUGAUGAAUAUGCUACGCAUGGGCUAUACUUAAAAUUAAUCUCUUGCCUUUUUCGUAUUUAUUUUAGUUUACUUUAGUUAUUUAAGAUGAAGUGUAAACAAUAUUUAUCAAUCAUUGAAACAAUAUCUCAUAUCUAUUUGACCUUUUGCCUAAAUAUAUUAAUAUUAUUAGCAAACAAAUAAGCACUUGUCGUGGCGAAAAUAAUGAGUAUGCGUGUAGUCGCUGUUUACUUCUU
Drosophila sechellia is the source of this 6031-nucleotide long non-coding RNA. RefSeq lists it as uncharacterized. Lineage: Eukaryota; Metazoa; Arthropoda; Insecta; Diptera; Drosophilidae. The record is from RefSeq and is a predicted model, not a curated record. The transcript has 4 exons.